GGUCCUACGGGAGGCAGCAGUGGGGAAUAUUGCACAAUGGGGGAAACCCUGAUGCAGCGACGCCGCGUGAGCGAAGAAGUAUUUCGGUAUGUAAAGCUCUAUCAGCAGGGAAGAAAAAUGACGGUACCUGAGUAAGAAGCACCGGCUAAAUACGUGCCAGCAGCCGCGGUAAUACGUAUGGUGCAAGCGUUAUCCGGAUUUACUGGGUGUAAAGGGAGCGUAGACGGCUGUGCAAGUCUGAAGUGAAAGCCCGUGGCUCAACCGCGGAACUGCUUUGGAAACUGUAUAGCUUGAGUACUGGAGCG
Molecule: ribosomal RNA, 305 nt
Filed under: uncultured bacterium
Lineage: Bacteria
Description: bacterial SSU rRNA
Rfam family: Bacterial small subunit ribosomal RNA
Source: RNAcentral